AGUUGAUCCUGGCUCAGGACGAACGCUGGCGGCGUGCUUAACACAUGCAAGUCGAACGGACGAAUGAGAGAAGUUUACUUUCUAUGAGUUAGUGGCGGACGGGUGAGUAACACGUGGAUAAUCUACCUGCAACACCGGGAUAACGCUGUGAAAACGGUGCUAAUACCGGAUACCUUCUUGAGAUCGCAUGGUCAUAAGAAGAAAGCUCCGACGGUUGCAGAUGAGUCCGCGGCUGAUUAGCUAGUUGGUGAGGUAACGGCCCACCAAGGCGAUGAUCAGUAGCCGGCCUGAGAGGGUGAACGGCCACACUGGGACUGAGACACGGCCCAGACUCCUACGGGAGGCAGCAGUGGGGAAUCUUCCGCAAUGAGCGAAAGCCUGACGGAGCCAACGCCGCGUGAGUGAAGAAGGCCUUCGGGUUGUAAAGCUCUGUCUUAUGGGACGAAGAAAGUGACGGUACCAUAGGAGGAAGCCACGGCUAACUACGUGCCAGCAGCUGC
Molecule: ribosomal RNA, 500 nt
Filed under: uncultured bacterium
Lineage: Bacteria
Description: bacterial SSU rRNA
Rfam family: Bacterial small subunit ribosomal RNA
Source: RNAcentral